AGUAAUGUCUGGGAAACUGCCUGAUGGAGGGGGAUAACUACUGGAAACGGUAGCUAAUACCGCAUAACGUCUUCGGACCAAAGUGGGGGACCUUCGAGCCUCACGCCAUCGGAUGUGCCCAGAUGGGAUUAGCUAGUAGGUGGGGUAAUGGCUCACCUAGGCGACGAUCCCUAGCUGGUCUGAGAGGAUGACCAGCCACACUGGAACUGAGACACGGUCCAG
Molecule: ribosomal RNA, 222 nt
Filed under: uncultured bacterium
Lineage: Bacteria
Description: partial 16S ribosomal RNA
Rfam family: Bacterial small subunit ribosomal RNA
Source: RNAcentral